This 305-nucleotide ribosomal RNA is filed under the name uncultured bacterium. Its description in RNAcentral is "bacterial SSU rRNA". It matches the Rfam family "Bacterial small subunit ribosomal RNA", at positions 334 to 653 of the family's 1533-position model. The record is from RNAcentral.
CUUCCCUACGGGAGGCAGCAGUGGGGAAUAUUGCGCAAUGGGGGGAACCCUGACGCAGCAACGCCGCGUGCAGGAAGAAGGUCUUCGGAUUGUAAACUGUUGUCGCAGGGGAAGAAGACAGUGACGGUACCCUGUGAGAAAGUCACGGCCAACUACGUGCCAGCAGCCGCGGUAAUACGUAGGUGACAAGCGUUGUCCGGAUUUACUGGGUGUAAAGGGCGCGUAGGCGGAUGUGCAAGUCAGUCGUGAAAUACCGGGGCUCAACCCCGGGGCUGCGAUUGAAACUGUAGUUCUUGAGUACUGGG